GAUGAACGCUGGCGGCGUGCCUAAUACAUGCAAGUCGAGCGAACAGACGAGGAGCUUGCUCCUCUGACGUUAGCGGCGGACGGGUGAGUAACACGUGGAUAACUUACCUAUAAGACUGGGAUAACUUCGGGAAACCGGAGCUAAUACCGGAUAAUAUAUUGAACCGCAUGGUUCAAUAGUGAAAGACGGUUUUGCUGUCACUUAUAGAUGGAUCCGCGCCGCAUUAGCUAGUUGGUAAGGUAACGGCUUACCAAGGCAACGAUGCGUAGCCGACCUGAGAGGGUGAUCGGCCACACGGGAACUGAGACACGGUCCAGACUCCUACGGGAGGCAGCAGUAGGGAAUCUUCCGCAAUGGGCGAAAGCCUGACGGAGCAACGCCGCGUGAGUGAUGAAGGUCUUCGGAUCGUAAAACUCUGUUAUUAGGGAAGAACAAAUGUGGAAGUAACUGUGCACGUCUUGACGGUACCUAAUCAGAAAGCCACGGCUAACUACGUG
RNAcentral lists this ribosomal RNA (497 nucleotides) under uncultured bacterium. RNAcentral's name for it is "partial 16S ribosomal RNA". It matches the Rfam family "Bacterial small subunit ribosomal RNA", at positions 28 to 507 of the family's 1533-position model. The record is from RNAcentral.